UGGGGAAUAUUGGACAAUGGGCGAAAGCCUGAUCCAGCCAUGCCGCGUGUGUGAAGAAGAUCUUCGGAUUGUAAAGCACUUUAAGUUGGGAGGAAGGGCAGUAAGCGAAUACCUUGCUGUUUUGACGUUACCGACAGAAUAAGCACCGGCUAACUCUGUGCCAGCAGCCGCGGUAAUACAGAGGGUGCAAGCGUUAAUCGGAAUUACUGGGCGUAAAGCGCGCGUAGGUGGUUCGUUAAGUUGAAUGUGAAAGCCCCGGGCUCAACCUGGGAACUGCAUCCAAAACUGGCGAGCUAGAGUAGGGCAGAGGGUGGUGGAAUUUCCUGUGUAGCGGUGAAAUGCGUAGAUAUAGGAAGGAACACCAGUGGCGAAGGCGACCACCUGGGCUCAUACUGACACUGAGGUGCGAAAGCGUGGGGAGCAAACAGG
RNAcentral lists this ribosomal RNA (429 nucleotides) under Pseudomonadota bacterium. RNAcentral's name for it is "Proteobacteria bacterium partial 16S ribosomal RNA". It matches the Rfam family "Bacterial small subunit ribosomal RNA", at positions 355 to 776 of the family's 1533-position model. Lineage: Bacteria; Pseudomonadati; Pseudomonadota. The record is from RNAcentral.